Molecule: ribosomal RNA, 253 nt
Filed under: uncultured microorganism
Description: partial 16S ribosomal RNA
Rfam family: Bacterial small subunit ribosomal RNA
Source: RNAcentral
UACGUAGGGUGCGAGCGUUAAUCGGAUUUACUGGGCGUAAAGCGUGCGCAGGCGGCCCGUUAAGACAGGUGUGAAAUCCCUGGGCUCAACCUAGGAAUUGCGCUUGUGACUGGCGGGCUCGAGUACGGUAGAGGGGGGUGGAAUUCCUGGUGUAGCAGUGAAAUGCGUAGAGAUCAGGAGGAACACCGAUGGCGAAGGCAGCCCCCUGGGCCUGUACUGACGCUCAUGCACGAAAGCGUGGGGAUCAAACAGG